Molecule: ribosomal RNA, 497 nt
Filed under: uncultured bacterium
Lineage: Bacteria
Description: partial 16S ribosomal RNA
Rfam family: Bacterial small subunit ribosomal RNA
Source: RNAcentral
GACGAACGCUGGCGGCGUGCCUAAUACAUGCAAGUUGAGCGCUGAAGGUUGGUACUUGUACCAACUGGAUGAGCAGCGAACGGGUGAGUAACGCGUGGGGAAUCUGCCUUUGAGCGGGGGACAACAUUUGGAAACGAAUGCUAAUACCGCAUAAAAACUUUAAACACAAGUUUUAAGUUUGAAAGAUGCAAUUGCAUCACUCAAAGAUGAUCCCGCGUUGUAUUAGCUAGUUGGUGAGGUAAAGGCUCACCAAGGCGAUGAUACAUAGCCGACCUGAGAGGGUGAGCGGCCACAUUGGGACUGAGACACGGCCCAAACGCCUACGGGAGGCAGCAGUAGGGAAUCUUCGGAAAUGGACGAAAGUCUGACCGAGAAACGCCGCGUGAGUGAAGAAGGUUUUCGGAUCGUAAAACUCUGUUGGUAGAGAAGAACGUUGGUGAGAGUGGAAAGCUCAUAAAGUGACGGUAACUACCCAGAAAGGGACGGCUAACUACGUG